GCGGCGUGCUAUACAUGCAGUCGAGCGAACAGACGAGGAGCUUGCUCCUCUGAYGUUAGCGGCGGACGGGUGAGUAACACGUGGAUAACCUACCUAUAAGACUGGGAUAACUUCGGGAAACCGGAGCUAAUACCGGAUAAUAUAUUGAACCGCAUGGUUCAAUAGUGAAAGACGGUUUUGCUGUCACUUAUAGAUGGAUCCGCGCCGCAUUAGCUAGUUGGUAAGGUAACGGCUUACCAAGGCAACGAUGCGUAGCCGACCUGAGAGGGUGAUCGGCCACACUGGAACUGAGACACGGUCCAGACUCCUACGGGAGGCAGCAGUAGGGAAUCUUCCGCAAUGGGCGAAAGCCUGACGGAGCAACGCCGCGUGAGUGAUGAAGGUCUUCGGAUCGUAAAACUCUGUUAUUAGGGAAGAACAAAUGUGUAAGUAACUAUGCACGUCUUGACGGUACCUAAUCAGAAAGCCACGGCUAACUACGUGCCAGCAGCCGCGGUAAUACGUAGGUGGCAAGCGUUAUCCGGAAUUAUUGGGCGUAAAGCGCGCGUAGGCGGUUUUUUAAGUCUGAUGUGAAAGCCCACGGCUCAACCGUGGAGGGUCAUUGGAAACUGGAAAACUUGAGUGCAGAAGAGGAAAGUGGAAUUCCAUGUGUAGCGGUGAAAUGCGCAGAGAUAUGGAGGAACACCAGUGGCGAAGGCGACUUUCUGGUCUGUAACUGACGCUGAUGUGCGAAAGCGUGGGGAUCAAACAGGAUUAGAUACCCUGGUAGUCCACGCCGUAAACGAUGAGUGCUAAGUGUUAGGGGUUUCCGCCCCUUAGUG
This 821-nucleotide ribosomal RNA is filed under the name Staphylococcus epidermidis. RNAcentral's name for it is "bacterial SSU rRNA". It matches the Rfam family "Bacterial small subunit ribosomal RNA", at positions 39 to 845 of the family's 1533-position model. The record is from RNAcentral. Lineage: Bacteria; Bacillati; Bacillota; Bacilli; Caryophanales; Staphylococcaceae.